RNAcentral lists this ribosomal RNA (253 nucleotides) under uncultured bacterium. Its description in RNAcentral is "partial 16S ribosomal RNA". It matches the Rfam family "Bacterial small subunit ribosomal RNA", at positions 524 to 776 of the family's 1533-position model. The record is from RNAcentral.
GACAGAGGAGCCAAGCGUUGUCCGGAUUGACUGGGCGUAAAGCGCACGCAGGCGGCUCGGCGCGUGGGGUGUGAAAGCUGGCGGCUUAACUGCCAGAUGCCAUCCCAUACGGCUGGGCUCGAGCCCUGCAGAGGUCCAUGGAAUUGCCGGUGUAGUGGUGAAAUGCGUAGAUAUCUGGAGGAAUACCGGUGGCGAAGGCGGCAUCCUGGACCGAGAUUGACGCUGAUGAGCGAAAGCUAGGGGAGCAAACGGG